This is a non-coding RNA of Caedibacter sp. 37-49, 79 nucleotides long. The record is from Rfam. Lineage: Bacteria; Pseudomonadati; Pseudomonadota; Gammaproteobacteria; Thiotrichales; Fastidiosibacteraceae.
AAAUUGCUUUCUUUGAGAGCAUAUUAAAGAAUUAAGGAGAAAAGCCGUGGCUCGUAUAGCAGGCGUCAACAUUCCUACA